CGGGUGGCGGACGGGUGAGUAAUGUCUGGGAAACUGCCUGAUGGAGGGGGAGUAACUACUGGAAACGGUAGCUAAUACCGCAUAACGUCGCAAGACCAAAGAGGGGGACCUUCGGGCCUCUUGCCAUCGGAUGUGCCCAGAUGGGAUUAGCUAGUAGGUGGGGUAACGGCUCACCUAGGCGACGAUCCCUAGCUGGUCUGAGAGGAUGACCAGCCACACUGGAACUGAGACACGGUCCAGACUCCUACGGGAGGCAGCAUG
RNAcentral lists this ribosomal RNA (261 nucleotides) under uncultured bacterium. RNAcentral's name for it is "partial 16S ribosomal RNA". It matches the Rfam family "Bacterial small subunit ribosomal RNA", at positions 92 to 353 of the family's 1533-position model. The record is from RNAcentral.